GGAGGAAGCAGGGGAUCGCAAGAUCUUGCGCUUUUGGAGCGGCCGAUGUCUGAUUAGCUUGUUGGUAAGGUAAAAGCUUACCAAGGCUUCGAUCAGUAGCUGGUCUGAGAGGACGACCAGCCACACUGGGACUGAGACACGGCCCAGACUCCUACGGGAGGCAGCAGUGGGGAAUUUUGGACAAUGGCGGCAACCCUGACCCAGCCAUGCCGCGUGAGUGAAGAAGGCCUUCGGGUUGUAAAGCUCUUUCAGCCGGAACGAAACGGUUACGGUUAAUACCCGUGACUACUGACGGUACCGGAAGAAGAAGCACCGGCUAACUACGUGCCAGCAGCCGCGGUAAUACGUAGGGUGCGAGCGUUAAUCGGAAUUACUGGGCGUAAAGCGUGCGCAGGUGGUUUUGUAAGUCAGAUGUGAAAUCCCCGGGCUCAACCUGGGAACUGCGUUUGAAACUACAAGGCUAG
This 464-nucleotide ribosomal RNA is filed under the name uncultured bacterium. Its description in RNAcentral is "bacterial SSU rRNA". It matches the Rfam family "Bacterial small subunit ribosomal RNA", at positions 199 to 644 of the family's 1533-position model. The record is from RNAcentral.